RNAcentral lists this non-coding RNA (27 nucleotides) under Mus musculus (house mouse). The record is from RNAcentral. Lineage: Eukaryota; Metazoa; Chordata; Mammalia; Rodentia; Muridae.
CUGACACUACUGAUAUGCUAUGCUUAC